CUUCGGUUUGGGUGGCGGACGGGUGAGUAACGCGUAAAGAACUUGCCUCACAGAUAGGGACAACAUUUGGAAACGAAUGCUAAUACCUGAUAUUAUGAUUUUAGGGCAUCCUAGGAUUAUGAAAGCUAUAUGCGCUGUGAGAGAGCUUUGCGUCCCAUUAGCUAGUUGGAGAGGUAACGGCUCACCAAGGCGAUGAUGGGUAGCCGGCCUGAGAGGGUGAUCGGCCACAAGGGGACUGAGACACGGCCCUUACUCCUACGGGAGGCAGCAGUGGGGAAUAUUGGACAAUGGACCAAGAGUCUGAUCCAGCAAUUCUGUGUGCACGAUGAAGUUUUUCGGAAUGUAAAGUGCUUUCAGUUGGGAAGAAAAAAAUGACGGUGCCAACAGAAGAAGUGACGGCUAAAUACGUGCCGGCAGCCGCGGUAAUACGUAUGUCACAAGCGUUAUCCGGAUUUAUUGGGCGUAAAGCGCGUCUAGGUGGUUAUGUAAGUCUGAUGUGAAAAUGCAGGGCUCAACUCUGUAUUGCGUUGGAAACCGUGUAACUAGAGUACUGGAGAGGUAAGCGGAACUACAAGUGUAGAGGUGAAAUUCGUAGAUAUUUGUAGGAAUGCCGAUGGGGAAGCCAGCUUACUGGACAGAUACUGACGCUGAAGCGCGAAAGCGUGGGUAGCAAACAGGAUUAGAUACCCUGGUAGUCCACGCCGUAAACGAUGAUUACUAGGUGUUGGGGGUCGAACCUCAGCGCCCAA
Molecule: ribosomal RNA, 749 nt
Filed under: uncultured Fusobacterium sp.
Lineage: Bacteria; Fusobacteriati; Fusobacteriota; Fusobacteriia; Fusobacteriales; Fusobacteriaceae
Description: bacterial SSU rRNA
Rfam family: Bacterial small subunit ribosomal RNA
Source: RNAcentral